GUUUAAGCUAAUAAGAGCGCAGGGAGAAUGCCUUGGCAUCAGGAGCCGAUGAAGGACGCGGUAAGCUGCGAAAAGCCUCGGGGAGUGGCAAGCACACAUUGAUCCGGGGGUGUCCGAAUGGAGCAAUCCGUACAGAGUCAAGUCUGUACAUCAUUAACUGAAUUCAUAGGUUAAUGAGGGGAACCGUCUGAACUGAAACAUCUAAGUAGGACGAGGAAAAGAAAUCAACCGAGAUUCCGCUAGUAGUGGCGAGCGAACGCGGAAGAGGCUAAACCGAGAGGAGCAAUCCUUUCGGGGUUUAGGACUGCAUUUAGCAUUCACAAGAGCUAGUUGAAGUGCAUGGGAAGGCACAUCGAAGAAGGUGAGAAUCCUGUAAACGAAAGUUUGAGUGAGCGAGCAGUAUCCAAAGUACCGCGGGACACGUGAAACCCCGUGGGAAGAUGGGGGGACCAUCCUCCAAGCCUAAAUACUACCUGAUGACCGAUAGCGUAUAGUACUGUGAAGGAAAGGUGAAAAGAACCCCGGGAGGGGAGUGAAAGAGAGCCUGAAACCCUGUGCUUACAAGCACACAGAGCACGUCAAGGUGUGAUGUGGUACCUAUUGUAGAAUGGUCCGGCGAGUUAUUUUAUGCAGCGAGGUUAAGUUCCUAAGGAACGGAGCCGAAGUGAAAGCGAGUGUUAAAUGCACGACAAAGUUGCAUGGAAUAGACCCGAAACCGGGUGACCUAUCCAUGUCCAGGCUGAAGUGAGGGUAAAACCUUAUGGAGGGCCGAACCGACUCCCGUUGAAAUGGUAGCGGAUGAGGUGUGGAUAGCGGAGAAAUUCCAAUCGAACCCGGAUAUAGCUGGUUCUCCCCGAAAUAGUUUUAGGACUAGCCUCAUAUUAGAUUAUCGGAUGUAAAGCACUGAAUGGCCUAGGGGUCGAGAGACUACCGAAGCCUAUCAAACUCUGAAGGCCGAAUAAUUGAUGUAUGGGAGUCAGACGGUGUGAGAUAAGUUUCAUCGUCAAAAGGGAAACAGCCCAGACCCACAGCUAAGGUCCCAAAGUGUAUUUAAGUGGAAAACGAUGUGGAGUUGCGUAGACAACCAGGAUGUUGGCUUAGAAGCAGCCACUCAUUAAAAGAGUGCGUAAUAGCUCACUGGUCGAGUGACUCUGCGCGGAAAAUUUAACGGGGCUAAAAUACACACCGAAGCUUGGGCUUGUACCUUUGGUACAGGGGUAGGGGAGCGUCGUAUGCGGGGUGAAGCAUGAGCGGAAGCGCAUGUGGACUUCAUACGAGUGAGAAUGCCGGAAUGAGUAGCGCGAAUUAUGUGAGAAUCAUAAUGGCCGAAAGCCUAAGGUUUUUGGAGGAAGGUUCGUCCGCUCCAAGUAAGCCGGGAGCUAAGGUGAGGCGGAAACGCGUAGCCGAUGCACACACGGUUGAAAUUCCGUGGCCACAGAAAGAUUUAAGCAGAGGGACACUUUGAAAGCGUCGUUGCCGGGUGAUGGUUACCCCGGUCGUAAGGGAACGAAUUAAGUAGUGAAGUCGACGUGGACGAAGGCGAGAAAAGCUCUGUGAAUAUCUUAUGUGCCCGUACCGCAAACCGACACAGGUAGGUAGGAAGAGAAUUCUAAGGCCAACGGGAGAAGGGUAGUUAAGGAACUCGGCAAAUUGUCCCCGUAACUUCGGAAUAAGGGGAGCCUACGAGAGUAGGCCGCAGAGAAUUGGCCCAGGCAACUGUUUAUCAAAAACACAGCUCUAUGCUAAAUCGAAAGAUGACGUAUAUGGGGUGACACCUGCCCGGUGCCGGAAGGUUAAGAGGAGAUGUGCAAGCUUCGAAUCGAAGCCCCGGUAAACGGCGGCCGUAAC
This 1848-nucleotide ribosomal RNA is filed under the name Prevotella sp. RNAcentral describes it as "partial 23S ribosomal RNA". It matches the Rfam family "Bacterial large subunit ribosomal RNA", at positions 1 to 1940 of the family's 2925-position model. Lineage: Bacteria; Pseudomonadati; Bacteroidota; Bacteroidia; Bacteroidales; Prevotellaceae. The record is from RNAcentral.